Transfer RNA from Pleurotus ostreatus PC15, 74 nucleotides. It matches the Rfam family "tRNA". From Rfam's summary of the family: Transfer RNA (tRNA) molecules are approximately 80 nucleotides in length. Their secondary structure includes four short double-helical elements and three loops (D, anti-codon, and T loops). Further hydrogen bonds mediate the characteristic L-shaped molecular structure. tRNAs have two regions of fundamental functional importance: the anti-codon, which is responsible for specific mRNA codon recognition, and the 3' end, to which the tRNAs corresponding amino acid is attached (by aminoacyl-tRNA synthetases). tRNAs cope with the degeneracy of the genetic code in two manners: having more than one tRNA (with a specific anti-codon) for a particular amino acid; and 'wobble' base-pairing, i.e. permitting non-standard base-pairing at the 3rd anti-codon position. Lineage: Eukaryota; Fungi; Basidiomycota; Agaricomycetes; Agaricales; Pleurotaceae. The record is from Rfam.
GGCCAGAUAGCUCAGAUGGUUAGAGCGUCUGGAAAGCAUCCAGGAGGUCCUUGGUUCAAACCCUAGUCUGGCCA